UACAGGGCGUGGCCUAACAGCACCGGGCUGUUCCCCUCCUCGAGGCCGGCUCCUGCGCGGAGCCUGACGUGCAAACGCAGGGGGUCCACUACCCGCCUCGAGCGCGGGCGGGGCUGCCAUGCAAACGACGACUCAAAAGGAAGAAGCCGCCGCUCCGCCUCCCCGGAGCCCGGCUCGCGUGUGGGGGAGGGGAGGCGUGGGCGUGGCUUACCCGAAGCGGGCGGGGCAGCCCCUCGCGGAGCCGGCGUCGGAAGUGUGCUGUGCGGCACGGCCGGGAGCAGCUGUCGGCAGCGCGGGAACAUGGCGAGCGCCGCGGGAGCUCCGGCGAGCGGCGCCGGCGAGGAGGAGAACUUUGAAGAUGCCUUUGAAACCAUCCCAGUGUAUUGAUGGAUUAGAAUUAGGCUGCAGCACGGAUUGGGAAAAUCUCCCAGCAUCCUCUUCCUGCAGAGGCAUCAGCAGCCAGCAUUGACUGUAGCUGCUGCCACUCUAAUUGACGUUUCUUUUAAAUUCUGAUAUGGAGAGCUCCUGUAACGCCAGCUGCUGCCUUGUGAACUUUUAUCUCUCUUUUUUUUUUUUGCUUGAUAACUAAUUAAUAAGAACCCCAUAGCUAUUGAGAAAUAAAACAGACUGUUCAUUUUUCUCUAUAUGCUCU
This 652-nucleotide long non-coding RNA is filed under the name Crocodylus porosus (Australian saltwater crocodile). RNAcentral describes it as "lncRNA (ENSCPRG00005001040.1)". Lineage: Eukaryota; Metazoa; Chordata; Crocodylia; Crocodylidae. The record is from RNAcentral.